GGUGACCUCGAUCAGUAGAUGCCAU
Molecule: ribosomal RNA, 25 nt
Filed under: Exophiala sideris
Lineage: Eukaryota; Fungi; Ascomycota; Eurotiomycetes; Chaetothyriales; Herpotrichiellaceae
Description: partial 28S ribosomal RNA
Source: RNAcentral